Long non-coding RNA from Anguilla rostrata (American eel), 975 nucleotides. RefSeq lists it as uncharacterized. The record is from RefSeq and is a predicted model, not a curated record. Lineage: Eukaryota; Metazoa; Chordata; Actinopteri; Anguilliformes; Anguillidae. The transcript has 5 exons.
UUUUGGACAGUCCAAUGAAGGGCUUACACAGGUGGGCCUCAGUGUUCUCGUUAGUGAAGGCUGUUGCUUUGUUUGGGAGCAUAAAAUGAUUCCCUGGAUUGUUCUAAAAACUUUGCCAUCGCCUAUUAUAUUUGUUAACACACACACACUCACACACACACAGAGGAGGGGAUUUCCAUCAAGACAAGCAGGAGGCUUUGGCCUGCGUGCUGCUAUCGGCUUAUUUCCACACGUCCGCGGUUAGCGUUCGUUCAAGUCCUGGGGGCGGGGCUACUGAGAGGUCUCUCGAGUCGAGGAGUCUCGAGAGGCCCUUGGACUUAGCCGACAGCUGACUUGCAGAAGGAGCCCCCCCGCCCCAUUUGUUACCUGGUGCGAUGUGACAUCACCUCACGUCUGUGUCAUCAGUCACAUCCGUCGUGCAGACUGCUGCCGACACAUCAUCUGAAGAGUGCCGUACAUUUGUGGGAUAUGAGUGCUGUGAUCGAGCCAGUAUUCCGUUCAUUAACUAACGGCAAAGAAUUGAUUUCUGCUGUGCAGGGUUGCCUUCUCCUCCCCCACUCACUGCUCAAGCUGGAUGCCGCGCAUUACACAGGAAGUACAAGGAGAAGAUUGAGCUUUUCUGUGAGCCCUGUUCCCAGAAUCGGUGUGGAGAUAAUCAGAUUCGGUCACUUGAGUGGCUGUGUCACAGCGCCUGCUUCUCCUUCUACUGAACCAGCCUGAAAUAAGUGUGGAAAUAGGAUCCGAAGCACAUGCUUCUCUUCCUGUUGUGUGUGUGUGUGUGUGUGUGUGUGUGUGUGUGCAUGCGUGUGCCUGACCACAUGUGUGAGGACUAUCCUCCUGAACAGAAAAGGUGGGGUGUUAGGCACACUCAGAAUAGCUCUUUGCUAUGACAUUAACUGACAUGAACUGACUGUUGUUAUUAGUUCUGCUACAUAUUUAGGAGACAGAACUGAAGUGUAUUAAUAGAGCUACUGU